Molecule: non-coding RNA, 553 nt
Organism: Trichechus manatus latirostris (Florida manatee)
Lineage: Eukaryota; Metazoa; Chordata; Mammalia; Sirenia; Trichechidae
Source: the annotation of a RefSeq genome assembly
GCCCCUUCCUCUCCUCACCCAUCUCUCACGUCGCCUGUUUGCAUACUGGGGAAGCAGCCACACGGGCUAUGACCUGCCCUCUACCACCCAGAAGUUUGGUCCAGAGGCAGCGCCAUGCUCGGCCGCUUUGCUUUCGUCUUGGUCCUCCUAUUUCCCGGUAAGUCUUCCACUCCUUCCACAGUGCCAUCUGGGGAGAGGCUGUGUGGCUUCCUGCCACCCCUGCCUCACCGAUGUCUACCUUGCAGCUGGCGGGUCUGUCAUCAGGCCGGAGCAGCCGGCUUAUGUCCUGGGGCGCAAGGGCAGGUCGGUCACCUUGCGGUGCUUGGUCCACUUCACAGUCAGCUAUGUCCACUGGUACCGGCAGCAGGAGGGCAAGGCCCCCGAGAGGCUCCUCCAACUGGCCAUGUUCAAACCAGAUGUGCGGUGGGACUCGAUUUUGAAAGCGGAUAAAAUCACAGCCCUGGAGUCGCAGGACGGCAAUAGCUGCACCUUCUCGGUGCUGAAGCUGGAGAAGAGUGACGAGGGGGUGUACUACUGCGCUGCAUGGAACUAG